Molecule: ribosomal RNA, 512 nt
Filed under: uncultured chicken cecal bacterium
Lineage: Bacteria
Description: bacterial SSU rRNA
Rfam family: Bacterial small subunit ribosomal RNA
Source: RNAcentral
GAGUUUGAUCCUGGCUCAGGAUGAACGCUGGCGGCGUGCCUAACACAUGCAAGUCGAGCGAAGCACUUAACUUAGAUUCUUCGGAUGAAGAGUUUUGUGACUGAGCGGCGGACGGGUGAGUAACACGUAGAUAACCUGCCUCACACAGGGGGAUAACAGUUAGAAAUGACUGCUAAUACCGCAUAAGCGCACAGGGCCGCAUGGCCCGGUGUGAAAAGCUCCGGCGGUGUGAGAUGGACCUGCGUCUGAUUAGCCAGUUGGCGGGGUAACGGCCCACCAAAGCGACGAUCAGUAGCCGGCCUGAGAGGGUGGACGGCCACAUUGGGACUGAGACACGGCCCAGACUCCUACGGGAGGCAGCAGUGGGGAAUAUUGCACAAUGGGGGAAACCCUGAUGCAGCGACGCCGCGUGAGCGAAGAAGUAUCUCGGUAUGUAAAGCUCUAUCAGCAGGGAAGAAGAUGACGGUACCUGACUAAGAAGCACCGGCUAAAUACGUGCCAGCAGCCGCGGU